CGCAUGAAAUGUCCCUUUCUUUUUGGUAAUUACAAAAAUCCACCUUAUACGGUGCACGCCGGAGGGGUUUUUCCCGUCGAAAAAUAAAAGAAAAAUCGAUCAAAAAUUCAAAAAAGGGGCACAAACCAUUUUUAUACGGUGUAUGAUCGAUACGCCCAGACUCGUGGAUAGCCCCCCGAAAUAGGCCAACUUGAUCAAGACGCCCAAACUUCGCCACGCAAAACCUUUGCCCCCCUGCCAGCCGUCCAUCCUUGAUCAGACGGUCGACGACCCCGAAAGUACUGCGAACUUCAGAGCCCUUCUUCCUCGCCUCCACGGUUUCCCCAUGGUUCCGCCCCUUCCACCGUAUGCGGAUGAGCCGAGGACGCGAGAGAGAGAGAGAGUCUAACGGUGGAUUUUGCUUUUGAGACCCUAGAAUCCUCUUCGAUCUCGACAGGCGAGGCUGCAUGAGUAGGAGGGGAGAGGUCGGUCGCGGCGUCAGACGAAGGUUCUUGAAGCACUCAUGGCGCCGUUCAUCGUCUCCUCCCCGUGGACGCUGCCUCCGCCUCCUCCCGGCUGCGGAGUCUCGUCUCUCAUCCGGGGUUCUGCGAAGCCGAACCCCCGCCGAUGCGUUGGCCACCUUCGACGGUUGAGGCUGAGGCCCUCCGGCUGCCCCAUUCGCAGGUGAUUCAUUCGGGUCUCCGAUGGGUAGCGUAUUUAUGGAAUUGGUGAAGUUGCUUCUGUAGGAGAUAGUUGUAGCCGAAAAUUGAACUUAGAUCGCACUGGAAGCGUGGAUUAUCUUGGAUGAAAUCCUUGGAGAUCCGUAGUUUUAGCUUGCGGCAGCCCCGCUGUUUCUGGGUCAAUUAGGCUUCUUCGUGACAAGGUGAACGUGCUGUUAGUAUCGUAUAAGUUGGAUUAAACAUCACAUCCAUACAGCAGAUUGUCUGUCGUGCGUUAUGGAUUCAAUCGAGGUUUUACUAGUUAUUGGAAGGCCUUGAUCAUAGUUUAAUUGAUUUAUGGGAUUUUUAUUGCGACAUCUGUGUUUGUUGUAGAACAAUGUCUUUUGACAAUCUCCAACAGUAAGCAUUUCGCCUCUGUGGUUAGUGACAUAUGGAGAUGAUGAAAUCAAUGAGCACGAUGGUUUUAGAACCACAGUAAAUGGACAAUCUUGGGGAAUAAGGGAUAUGAUACAUGGAUAUGCUACUAGCAGUGUAGGGUCUUAUGGUGGAGUGUAAAGUUCUUACAUUCCUGAUGCUCAUGAAAUAAGGAAGGUUCUUAUUGAUUUUAGUUCAAUUACUAGAGUGUUUGUAACUGUAGAUGAGCUAAAUUACUAAUUAAAUAGCUAUGGACAUGACUGCAGAAAUUUUGGAAGUGGAAAUAAUUCAAAAUUUGAUUGUGAUAUAUCUCUCCAGAAAAUAGAGGAUGUUCUGGUGGUUGGUGAAUUAUCUCAUGACAUAAACAGAGCAUAGUUGAUGUCGUGUACCUAAUCUCCUUCUUAGUAUUUAGAUGAACAGGACCCAACAGAGCAUAUAUAUACAUAUAUAUAUAGAUAGAUAGAUACAUACAUAUAUAUAUAUAUAUAUAUAUAUAUAUAUAUAUAUACAUACAUAUACUUUACUGAAUUCAUGUUCCAUGCACAUAUGGGAAGAUUAAAAGCAUAUCAUAUGAAGACUUUGUGGGCAUCAUUAUAAUCUGAUUUAUUAACCACUGGAUCUGAUGAACAUUGGAAUUAUUGUAUCAGGUUGGAUGUAUUCACUUCAAAAUGCUUUGCUACAAACACUGAUGUUGAUGGUGACAAUGUAGCAGCUGAGAAUACAGUUGCAGAAAAUCCUAGGCCUCUUUCAUCCAGUUGCUCAAUAUCAGUUCAUCUGAAAUCUGAUAUUCUUGAUUCUAUACCUUUAGAUUUGUCGAGCAAAAAGACAGAUGCAAACCGUGUCUUCACAAACCUACAUGUAUAGUCUCUCUCUCUCUCUCUCUCUCUCAUUCUCUGUGUGUCUAUCUGUACAUCUGCUUACAUCAAUUACAUAUUUUAAAGCCCUGGCAAUAUUUGAUUAUGCUUGUCGGUUAUUCAUCUUCAGUAUUUAUUAGCUUGAAACUUUUGGAACCUCACUUUCAGGUUUUAUCCAAAAGAGAGCAAGAUGCUCUAGCAGCUACUCCAACACAUCCUACAAGUUUAUAUGGUAGGUUCAAUCUUCAAUUAAAGAACAAAUGCUAAAUGUCAUUUCUUUCAUGAUAGGAUAGAAUUUGCAGUUUUGCACCUUAUAUAUCCAUCUUUAUCUGAGAACAAUAUAUACAGAUUAUGUUAUUUUUUGUUACAAUCAAUAAUCUCGUUGUUGGUAAAGAUCUAUUUGUUGGUAUUUUUAUAUUGGAGUCAAAUUUUAAAUCUAUGCUAUGUUGACAUGUAGUUUUUAAAUGAUCCUACAGGAUUUAAUUUAAAGUAGAAACUGGAAUAUGUGUGAACUUUUAUAUUCUAAAAGGCAAAGUCUGAUUACAUCAUAGUGUUUAUUACAAACAGACCUAUAUUGAGGAUACAACUGCUACUAUCAAUCUAACACAGGUUGAACAGUUCCACUAGAAAAUCAUAGAAUUACUGAACCUUCCCUCUGUUCACAAUAUCCCAUUUUAGUUACCAAUUGGCAAGAUGGUUUCCUUCUCUCAAAAUGUGUGUGAUCUUAACAUGAGCAAACUCUUUUAGGGACAGAUGUGUUUUGAAGCUAAACACAUUUAGUCAUGUCAAUCCUCUCCUCUGAACUCCUUCAAAAUUGACCAUUGGAAAACGCUCUUCAGGGGAAGGUCGCCAGGAGAAAAUAGAAGAAUUCUGAUGUUCUGAUUCUUUCCAAGUUGUUCCAUUUUCCUUCAGGUAUUGACUUAAUAUCAAAAUAUUCUUUAGCAUGACUGCAUGCGUAGCAGCAAGAGAGUGUGCCUGAUCAAGGGAAAUAAACUUUCUUCCACAUAUUAGAACAUUCUUCGCUCUUCAAAUACCUCGAAGAAGACAUGCAGAGGCCAUUUUUGUUUGACAUGAAGCAAAACAAUGAGCAAGUAUUUAUAUCCAUGGCAUUAAAAGGCACACCAUGGAUACUCAUGAACCUUUUGAUAGUGCUCAGCAAAUGGCAAUUGAACUUUGGGAUACAGUGCGACCAACUGGUUCCUCCUCACUUACACCUUAGGCUUAAACCAUUCACAUUCAGCCAAGUAGGUGAAAGGUAUUUCCAUGUUAGGAUCCUCUCCCAACAAGCCUUCCAAUAAAUGAUCUCGUAUGGUUAGCUUAUUUAUAUCCAUUUCAAAGGUAAGGAACCCUCCACCUAAGCACCCAAGGAAACAAACUGCUACAUAUAAGUCUCUGGCACACUUUUGCAUGUUAUGCAUGCUGCAGCCUGAUCUAUCGAAAUAUCAUGCAUAGUCAGAGGUAUGUUGAAAAUCCUCAUAUAUUUUGGAUGAGCCAACCUUGUUCGUGCAGUAAGUUCACCAACUUCCAAUCAGAGAAAUGAGCUAGGUUCUUGUGAUAGAGAAUUCAAAAUCAAACAUAUAAUUGACUCCCAGAUAUUCCUUAUCACUGGAGUGUUUGGUAACCAAGGGUGUCCUGGUUUAUCUGCCUUUCCAGUAUCAAAUUGAAAUACAAGGAGAAUCACUGUCACACCCAAGCAUAAUGAUAGGGCAGCCAAGAUUCUUUGCUUUUAUGCUUGGCUGAUAUAUAUCUGUUCCAGAGACUGAGGAUCUAAUACAAGUUUUGCAGACAGCAUUUCUCAUCGGUUUAAGCUGUGAAAUUCAGAGUCCCUCAAAAUCCUUUUUGCAAUUCCCAGAUUCGAAAAAUUAGACCAUUAAAAUUUUCCCCUCCGCAAGAGAUAACCUUGGUGCUUCUUUCCAAGUUCAUAGGAGAUUGUUUGGAGAAAAACAGGAUGCAGAGGAUACCAAAAAUUGAUAAGAAUAUAAUAUUCAUGCAGUAAAUUUGUUGUUGAACUUAUUAGAUAUUCCAAUCAUCUGAUUAGAUAAAGGCCAACAUCUGAGAUAAUUUUCUUAGCUUAGCAGAUGUGCCAGUUGGAACCCAUCUCCUUUAAUAUGACCUUCCCUCUUGUAGCUCUCUAUUUAUCAACCUAGAGAGUGAUUGGAUUCCCAGUAAACAAAUAAAAGAAAUACAGGAUUUUAAUGAUGGAGAAAUCUUUUGAGUGUGACAUUGUGCGGAGGAAAUACACUCCAAAAACCAGUAACUUCGAACAUUACCCCAUAUCACUUAGUAUCUUAUUAGAGAGCCUGGAUGCUUCCUAUCAUAAGCUAUCUCCACGUCAAGAUUUUCCAAGUACAUUAUUUUAAAAACACUAUCAUGCUUCAGAGAAUGAAGACCUGAAGUGCUAAAAAGCUAUAAUCACUUGUACAUAUUUCAGAAAUAAAUGCUCUAUGUUUAAUUGAGAUCAUCUUAGGAAGAACAGGUGUAUCAUGGUAGCCAAUCAUUUUGUAGAAAUUGUUGCACAAGUUGAUAGCCUAUUAAUUUUUGUCUUGGAUGUAUUUUCAAUCUUUAGCAAUAGAAAUCAGCUUUGAAUGAACAUUUGCAUGCUCAUGGCAUAUGUGGCAUAUGAAUAGUAGUGAAUAAGCAUUUAAUGCCAGAACAUUUCUUACUCUUAAUGGUAGGCCAAAAAGCCUUGUGAAACAAACCUUUGCAAAACACUCGGUGUUUGGAUAGGGUGAGUUUUAGCGACAUAUCUUUGUGAAUCUUGUAAACCUAGAUCAAGCCAUCACAAGAUGUCUGAGACUUCAAUAUUACAUAUCACAUGCUACAGAAGUAAGUUCUUGAAAACUACAAUGCCAUUAACCCAUCUACAAAACAAAACCCUCAAUAAGAAUAGUCCAAAUAGUAGUGACUCAGUUUCAGAGAAUAUGUAUAAGUUAUUGAACAAAGGAAUAUGUGAUUCAUGUAGUAAGCCGAUAUCUCUAGUAUAUGCAGGCAGUCUAGGCAAAUAUUAAAAGAAAUUGCAUUGCAGUCAUUGAAUUUUGUCUUUGAAUUGAGCAACAUAAUUCUUUAUGCAACUUACCAAAAGAACAUAAUAUUUUUAUGUUCGCAGCAAUUUUGUCAGCAUUGAUAUUAAUAUUUAGUUGUUUAUGACUCUAAAGUGCAGUUCUAUAUGCUAUCUCCUUGGUGGGAAAUUUAGUCGAACAACUCUGGAACUUCGUUUGGCCUGCUGCUGUUGCAAUUGUUCAUCCGAGUCUUCUGCCUGUGGCUGUUGUGGGUUUCUUCACAAAGGUAUUGAAAAUUUUGACUUUUCCUUGAAUAUUCAAAGAAGGUUGUGACUGUCUGACUGACACAUUUCAUUAUACACAGCUAGCCAUUUUUGUUGGGGGCCCAUUGGUUGGUAAACUUAUGGAUUGUUUCCCUAGAGUUCCUGCAUAUCAUAGCCUAAAUGUUAUUCAGGUAUUUAGGUGUCCUUGUUACCUUUGUUAUGCUUUAGAUCUUCUCCUUUGGCUAGUAAUAACUAUGAGCCAGGGAAAUUUUCCUUUGAACUUUAUGGUUCCUUGUUUUUAAACUUUUUGUCAAUGAUCUUAUUAUGUCAGACAGCUGCUCAGUUGUUAUCAGCUAGUAUGAUCAUAUAUGCACUAAAUAAUACCAUAAAGCAAAGCUCUACAUCUUCUGUAAUUCUCCAACCUUGGUUCAUGGUACUCGUUGUGGCUGGGGCAAUUGAAAGGCUUGCAGGCUUAGCAUUGGGGGUCACGAUGGAGCGUGAUUGGGUUGUUAUGGUAAUUUGGAUGAUUUGCACUUGUUGAUUUAACAAAAUUGUGAAAAUCAUAUAAGCUAAAUUUCUUCUUUGUUUCCCCUGUUUUGCUUCUCUGGAAGUUAGCAGGCAGAAACAGGCCAGUUGCACUUGCCCAAGCAAAUUCUGUACUUAGUCGAGUUGAUCUUCUUUGUGAGGUAAACAUUACUACUGUCAUGUAAAAUCAAAGAUUCCAAUUCUACAAAAUUUUCAUGAUUUUUUUUUCUCAUAUAUAGACUGUCUGCAGAUAGCUGGUGCUUCACUCUUCGGCAUUUUGUUGUCAAAGUACAAUCCAGUGACAUGCUUAAAACUUGCUUGUGGUUUAACAAUAUCUGUGCAACCUAUUCUGGUAAGUUUUCCGUAUCCUUUUACGAGUAUAUUAAUUGCUGAUUAGAAUUCCUUCUUUCACUCAUUUUGUGUUUAUUUUGCAGGUUAUCCUGGGUCAUGUUAUCAAUUCACUUUCCAGUGGUGUUCUUGAUUGCUCAAGAUCUGGCGUUAAACCUGUUGGUUCAUCUUCUUUGUUUGAUGCCAGGAAGAUCGGUUGGACUACUCAUACUCUAUGACGACUAUUUUUCAUAUCUCAAAGGUUAUAUUUAUGGAUAUGUCUAACACUUAGAAAAUAUGCAGUUGAAAAUGGACUAGAUGCGUUUGGACAUGGCUGGAAGGAAUAUAAGCAUCAGCCUGUGCUUCCUGCAAGUUUGGCAUAUGUGCUUCUUUACUUCAAUAUUGCUUUAGCACCUGGUGCCAUAAUGACUGCAUUCCUAGUACAUCAUGGUAAUUAUAACUCUUUAUUAAGAACCCUACACUUCUGGUGGAGAUCCAACUUUCACAUGAUUUUUGAACCCAACAUUUUUUUACACGAUUAGAUUCUUAUAUGUUAUUUAGUCUUAGUUUUAAAAUUUAAAUUAUUAUUGUCUGAAUUCUAUCACCAUUAUAUAACACAUCUGUGUCUAGAUAAGACAUUCUGUUAAUUAACAAUGUAAGAUCUGAAAGUAGGAACCACUGCUACAUUCACAAACAAAUAGCCUCCUAAAAAGGCAUGGUAAAUCAUUAUAAGCUACACUAACUAGACAUUCACAUAGAAAUAAAUCGGUUUUGCUGCAUCGAGUGCUAGCUUUUGGAGGUUAUGGUUGUGGUUGUCAUUAAUGUGACCAGAAAAUUUGUGCUCAUUCAGAAGCUGUAAACAGCCUAUGUAUUUGCACUCACUUGAAUGAAUGUGACCCAUGAAGUAAGAAUGUCUAUGAUGGUUGAGUUAAAUCUCUUAUUCAGAAGCAAAAAUGUUGUCACAGCAACAAAGAUAGUGUCCCAACUAUUUGGGUUCUGCCACACCUUUUGGUGAAUGCAUCUGCCUCCACAAGUCUGCUGACAAGGUUGCAAAUAAAGUCCUUGUCUGAGGGUCUAGAGAAGCUAUUAGGAAUGCAACAACUUUUCUAAAUAAAGUUCGCCUUAUUUUCUUCAAAUGACAAUGACACAAGGGUUUAUGUUCUCAUUCAUUUAGUUGAAGAUGUCUAAAAACUCCCAGUAGUCACACCCAGUGAUGAUCAUGACCAAAGAGCCUCCUCCUGGCUACUGAUAAAGUUACUUUUAUCUAUAGAUAGGUUAUUGUCUUUUUGUCUCUUGAUGAAGUCAGCUUUUCUGUGUUCAUAUUUAAUCCACCAAAUGAAUCUAUUGACUCAUCUCCUGUCUGAAAGACUCUUAAUACCUACUAAAAUUUAAUCUGGGUAUAAAAAUCCUAGGGUAUAAAAAUCCUACUCUUAUUGUUCAUAACAAGAAAAACUUAUAAGUUAGGAGACAUAGGGAAGUUUCACAUGGUUCAAGUUUGCCAUGUAUAGAAGCGAUCAGUAUCUAACAAUGAUUGAGAGGGAGAGAGAGAGAGAGAGAGAGGCAUGGAGGACAGGGUGGUUGAGGAGGUGGAGCUGAAGGUUGAGGACUGGUGCCAUGUUGUGUGGCAAAGGAGGUAGUGACCUGGGCAAACAGCAAAAGGAGAAGAACCAGCAGCACAAACAGAAAAGAGAAGAAAAAAAGGUUUAAAGGUACGGCAGGUUACCAACCGAUACAGCUCAAUAUCAAUCAUCUUAUUACCUGGUAAGCUUGCCUUUGGACCAUACAGGGCCAAUCUGUACAUUGGUCAGCCAUUUGACCGGUUAGAGCCAGUCCAAAUCUAGUGGUAUGGUUGAAACAUUAAUCCUUGGUGUCGAAACCAUCCGGAGGCUAAAAGCCCUCUAUGGUUGCACCUAUGAGAUAGUCUGACUAGAGAACAUUAAUGUAGCUGCGGUCGUAAGUCACCUUCUCUUGAGGUUAGCAAAAUUAAUAACUUGAAAUGGAAUUACUAAAUCACCUACUUAGGGAUAAAGUUGGAUUUUUUUUCUGAAUGUUUGGAUACCAAAUGCAGGAAUUUAUGGUUGUCCUAUAGACAUUCAUUGGGAUUUUUUUUCCAAAUGUUUGGAUGCCAAAUGCAGGAAUUUAUGGUUGUGUUAUAGGCAUUCAUUGGGAUGAUUGCUGAGCCAUCUAUGACUGCAAACUGUGUCUGGAUACCAAACACAGGAAUCUUUUGGUUCUGCUAUAGACAUUCAUUGGGAUGAUUGCUAACCCUGUUUGUGGUUGAAAACAUAUUUGGAGGGAUGCUGAGAUAAGGAGGCCAUUUAUAAUCUACAGUUUAUUACCAAGGGAUAAAGCUGAUUUGCCGACUGGAAGUUAACUAUUGGUUUUGAUAGUUGCAAUCACUGAGAUGAAUGCCUAUGAUGGCCAUCUACUCAUGCGUAAUCAUAUGAACUUGCUGAAAACAACCUUUUUAAGUCUGUAAAACGAUGCUUCUCUUAUUUCGAAGAUUGAAAUGCUAUGGUAAAUUAUGGCCUACACUUUAAGAUAGUCAAUUUUGCUGUAUUUGGAAGCCCCUGAGAGCUAGGAAUUGUCAUGGCAAGGUAUUAUCUACUGAGAGUCAAUCAUGCUUGCUCAAUUGAAUGUAAGGAUACAUGAUAGAUGAGUUGGGUCAGAUCUGUUUGCUGUUUAAAUCGCAGUUUUGAGAAACUUUUGCUUGGCAUGAAACAAACUGCCUCGCCAUGGAUGAAGGCUUUACCGUGCAACUAACUAAAUGGAUCCUAAUUUGAAGGUCAAGCUAAGUGAUCCAUAUAUUCAGAUUGUUGUGGCUCCUUUUAUGUUUUUUUCCUUGCAUCAGCAUUGGUUACUCAUAUUCUACUCAGUCAUUAAGACCUUGUUCUUGCUACUGUGACUUAUUUUUGGUUUUGUAGAGAACUUAAGAUAUAGCAACUGCUAAGCUUAUAUAGCUGGGCUUUUGGUCGGAUAUUUUGAUUAUAUGCAUUUACCACAGUUGCAUCCAUGGUUUUUGCAGGGAUAAAUCCAUCAAUUAUUGGUGGAUUCAGUGGAUUAUGCUCUAUCAUGGGUUUUGCUGCGACGUUCAUGUCUGCAAGUCUAGUAAGACAGCUCGGCAUAUUAAAGGUUGCAAUUUCUUCUAUGGUAUUUUGAUUGCUUUCAGACCUCUUUUCUAGGAACACCAUCUAAAAAUGUAUCUCUUGUACCAGGCAGGAGCUGCUGGAUUGAUUUUUCAGGCAUUUUUGCUCACAUUAGCUGUUUCUGUGUAUUGGGCCGGUUCUAUUACUCAGCAAGCUAGACUACUAAUUUUUCUCUCCUUGAUUGUAAGCAUCAUAGUAUCUUUUCCCUUGGUAAUUCGUAAAAUUACAUAGCGUAAUGAUAUGGUUCUGCCACGUUUGUUUUUUGUUCAGUUAGAUUCAACCUUUUGCAGGGAACAAGGAUUUUACUGCAUGGUGUUUUUUUUAUCUUUGUUUUCAACAGGUAGUGUCACGAUUGGGCCAUAUGUCAUAUGAUGUUGUGGGGACACAGAUUCUUCAAACGGGAAUUCCUACUGCCAAAGCAAAUUUGAUAGGGAUAACAGAAGUUUCAAUGGCCAGCCUAGCUGAACUUCUGAUGUUUGGUGUAGCAAUAAUUGCAAAUGACGUUUCACAUUUUGGUUUUCUGGCUACACUAUCUGUGUCCUCGGUUGCAGUAGCUGCCUUGAUUUUUUGCUGGUGGUUAGCUAAUCCAACAGAUGGUCAGAAAAAGCUCUUCAAGUUUGAUGCUCCACUUUAAUGCUUGUGAGUUCUCUGUCACAUUUUUGUUAUCUCAGCUUCAUUGAGCAUUGUUCUCUUUUACUUGUGUGGCUCUAUCUGUUCCUACUGGUUAAAUAUGGAUUGAAGAUUCUCUGAAUGCAGAUUGUAGCAGAGUUAUGUUGGAGUCUGUAAGGCAGCAAGCUUUCUUCCUGCCUCUGAUCUCCAGUCUGGCAUUUAGUUAUCACCUGGAGAAUUUUUUAGGUGCUUCAGCUGGGAAUGAAAUGACUGGGCAUAAAUUUGGCUAUGGAGCUCCUAGACAAACAUCAACCAAACACUUCCAAUAGCUGGAAAUACACAAGCCUAAAUGCUGCUUCACAUUCUACUGAGUACUACUAUUUGAGUUCUUGAGAUUAAACUUAAUCAUGUGUUUGUUCAAUGAUUUCAAUCUUGAUUUCAUAGAGUUUUUUCUUUUGAAAAAAAUCAACACAUUUUGUUAUCACAAUUGGCCAUGUAUAUAUAACAACCUGAGUAAAGUCUUUGGUGACCAAAAUAAAUACACAACAUGUCUCACUCGCCAUAGAAAUUGGAGCAGUUUGACCAAAAAUUUGCUAGAAUAUAUGCUAUGUUAACAUGUGGAAGUAGAAAACAGAACAGAAAAAAAAUUCAAGUAGUGAUCUUGUUUGCAAGUUGUACUGAUAUCAGAAAAUUGUGAUUAAUCUUGUGCACUUGAUUAAUUUUGUGGAAAGAGAUCCAAACUUUGUCAUGUGUAAAUUCUCAGUAUGAUUUUCAAACUUUGAAUUGUUUCUGAUGCUGUUGGGCUCUUUCUUGGUUAAACUGCUUUUUCUCGAGCUGUUCUGUGCUAGAAACUACUGGAGGAUUUCAUAUCUUCACAAGCUGUAAGUUAUUUCAUUAUCUGAUAAAUGUUGCUAAUGUUGACAUGAUUUUUUUCUGUGACUUGAAUAACCAAUGUGAAUAAGGCUGAUACAAUUUUAUUCUCGUAAAUAAGAAAAAGUAUUUCUAGGAGCAAUUGUUGAUUUAAACGCAGUGCUGACAUAAUUUUAUUUUUACCAAUAAAAUAUAUUACAUUUUUAUUCAAAAAUAAUAUAGCAUAAUGUUAUCCUAUGGGCUGUGCUAUGACAUGAUGCUAUUGUCGAGGUUGGCCACAAACGAUAUGUAUCGUGGCUUCCGAUGAGCUGUCCCUCUUUUAUUGGGUGACAAAAGCUGUUUGCUCUGUGGGAAGCAACGCCCUUUUUCUGUUAUUUACACGCGGAUGUCCGAUGUUCGUCAACCAAUCUUCCUAUAUAGGCACGAAAAAAGAAGGGGUGUCUUUAUCAUCACCACGCUGGUUAUUUGGGCCGCCUCGUCGUUUCUCUGCUCGCACAGCUCUCUUUCAUCGCUUCGAGGAGUGAGGACGGCGGCCGAUCGGCGCGGUUCUCGCCGUGCAGCGGUGUGAUGGCGACCAUCUCAUCCUCGUCAACGUCCAGAAGGAGGGCCACUACGAAGAGGGCGAGAUGCAGAUGCAGGAGACCACCGGAUCUCGUAUGGAUCACAUUCUCCCCAAGUUCUUUUCUCCCCAUCCUUUCGCGUCCCUCUUUCUUCCUCUUGGUUUCAUUGGUUCCAUCUGUGCUAGUCGCGAGAAACUUUUUCGUUUUAACGCCUCCUCGGUGUUAACCCGAUCGGGAUAAAUCGAGGAUAGCCUUAGUUGGGCUGCACGGAAGAAACCCCAGCUGGAACGAAUUGUUGGAUCGGGCGCUUAGAGAAUGAUGGUUGAACUGGAAAAUCAUUUUGUUCUUUCAAGAAAAUUGACCAAAUUAUAAUGGGCUAAGAGAUUCAGAACUGAAAACCCUCAGGUGCUACUAAAGUGUUUGAAUUGUUUGCGUUUUAGCCUUUUCUAGAUUGUACCUCUAGGAGUUUCCUUCCGUGCGGUUCAUUUCUCGUGAUUGUUAUCACACUUUCAUUCUAUGGUGUCGGCCAUAACCCUCUACCUGUUUCAGCAAGUAUUCAAAUCUCUGUAUUUAGUUGGUGUUAAAUGAAGAGUUGGUUCUAAAUGCUAAAAGGUUAGUGACACUGAUAAGAUUAUAUUUAGUUUCAUCGGUUGAAGAAUUGGUGAAUGCUUAAUAAAAGUUCAAAUUUGACUCCUCUCCCAUAUGCCCCCAUGUAUGACUGCUUUCUGUCAUGCACAUUUUGCGGAACCCACACUAGAGCAGACAAUUCUUCAGGGUUAAUUUUCAGAGAAAUAAUGAUUUGUGUGGACCUUAUCAAAUGACAUCUACCGUGAGCCACGAGGAACUGUCAAUGGGGAGAAGUGUCAUUGCUUCUAGGUGGACCUCGCGUGGUUUUGCUAAAAAAGGUAGACCGAGGAAAUGAAUUGCAUUUGGUCUUUUAUUAGGUCUUGGUUCUCCAACUAUCCUAGAACUGAAUAUGGUUUUAUUACACAAAACUUUAGACACUAAACUCUCAGCUUAAUACCAAUGCAAAUCAAAAUGUUUAUUUAUCAUAUAUUUGUCUUCAAUAUUUUUUUUUCUUUUCAUGUAAAUUUGUGAGCUGUCUAGUUUAAGUUAGCAAUCAUGGAUCCACAAAAAUUUAAGAAAACCAACUUUUUUGAAAAUUAAAACUCUAUACAAUUUUGAUUUGCUGAUUUCGAGAUGGCGAAAUAAAUGCACACAGGAUCUUUACCCUGUAUACGUAUCCACAUUUUUGGAGGGUUCUAAAGCAUUUUUGUUCUUUUAAUUGCCCUUGGUGCACAUUUUCUUUCACUUGGUUCAUUGUUUACAUACUGAACAAGGAAAAGGUUGUGACAUACUAAGCAUAUAUCGAAAAUGAUUGUCUCAGGCUAAUGGAUCUCACUUUCCAAUUUGCUUUAACUUUUUUCAUAUCUUUAUAACUUUUGAAGUUGAACACAUAGUGUAAAAUAUAUGGUACUGGUUGUGGCAGUGAUCUCACUACUAAUCCAUAUAAAUCUUUAGCUGGUUUGGUAAUGGUUUUAUUUGGCUCUGCAGAAGCAUUUGUCCACACUAACAGAGUUAUCUGACCCUGGUACCCCAAAGAAAUAUGGGGUGAAGCCUGAUGCUGAAAACUUGGGACAUACUCAGCACUCUUUCCAGGCAAAAGGAGGUGAUCUAUUUCUGAGUUUUUUACAAACCUGUUAAUAGAAAGAUGAUUCUUUGCUAAAAGUCAAGAGACUUACUGCUUGUAACUUUUCAGAUUGUUAUUGUGAUGAAGAUCCACAGGAGAGAGACUGGUGAAAAGAUAUAUGAAGCUAUCGAUAGUAUUCCUCUAAGCUGUUUGGUCACUGGGAAUAGAGGGUUUGACAAGAUCAAGAGGUCAACAAGAUGUCCUUUUGCUACUAACAUUUUGUUUGUCCAAGUGGUUAAUGAGUAUAGCAACUGUCCAUUUACUGAAUCAUUUGAGAGUAAUGAGUAAUCCUCCAAUUUUUUUCUGUCCUCAGGGUGCUUUUGGGUAGCUUAACUACAUGGUGAAUAAUGCUACUUGCCCAGCCACAGUUGCAAGGAGUGCUGAUCCUGAAAGUUAAACUCAUCUGUUUUGAUCUUCUGCAGCAACCUUGCCGGUUCCCUUUGAUAGCAGAUAAAGAUUUCCUCAACUGCAUGAGGAAAUCUUUAUCUGCUAUCACCCUUGGGCGCAUAUUUCAUGCAGAGCUCAAGAUCACCUUCCACCAAAUAAGAAACUUGGUUGUUCACGAAAACUUGUUUGACAAGGUUGUACUUGUAAGUUAUGAUGUCUAUACACUAAUUUCCCAUUGGCCACAGUUCUGCUAUGUUCAUUUCUAUCGUUGCAUGUUAAAUCUCUUCCUCCCUCAUUGUUCGAAUCCUAUGUUUAUAGAACUUCUUAUACAGGUGUUGUUGGUGGCCAAAGUGUGAGAUGCGGAACAUGAAGAUUCAAGCUGAGCAUGUGAGCUUAAUUUCUAUGUCAUGUUCUAUUUCUUUGUUUCAUCAGUGUUCUACUCAAAUGUUGCAGCAUAAGAUUCUGUAGUUUCCGCAUUGCAUGUUCUGUGCCAAAUGUCCAACUCCCAUGUUUUAUUUCGUGCCAAAUGUUUCUUAUAUUUACAAUAUUUUUUCCCCAUGUUUCAUACCUUAUCAGGGAAUUCACUAUGAACAACAUAUAAGAACAUUUUCCUGCCAUUAGCUCCAUGUCUUGCUUGUAAGGGUGAACCAUGUCAUUGAGCUCAGACCGACCAAAUGUGUUGUGGUUUCCUGAGAGAAAUUGGGCCUUUUAUCUUUCAUACUGAGGAUUACAGUUCCCUUCUUAUAUUUCCUAAUAUUCUUUAAGUUAGAUCAAAAUAUUUUCUAAACCGGAUCUAAUACACCAAAUUUUUUCUAUUUGAUUAUCGUUGGGGGUUAAAAAGGUUAAUUAAAGUUUAUCUUAUGUAAUUAAUUAUUUUUAGUAUCUUGGUUUAUACACUUUUACAAGUUAUAUUGGGAUUCAUAUGUGUUGUCGAAAAUAUCGUAUGUGUUGAUAAAUCAAUGUGAGAUAGAGUCGGUAUGUGUUAAACUCUAUGAUGUUUCUAUCAAUAGAAUCGAUGAUGUGAGGAGAAACAUGAUUAAAUAUUUUAUUUUUAUAAGUAUAAGGAUCUUAAUAUAAUUUUUGUAAAUAUAACGAUCAAAAUGUUAAAGAUAAUUAAUUACAGAAGAUAUUCUAUAAUUAAUUAGCUCGAGUUUAAUCAUGUAAAUAGAUACCUUAAUAAUUAUGUUAUAUCUACCAACAUUAUUUACAUCCAAAAUCUAUAUAAUCCUGCGGGGUUCUAUGAGGACUUUCGAUGUCCAUUUUUAACCCUAAAAAAAAAAUGCCUCCUUUGUUUUCAGGGAUAAUCUAAAUCAAGUAAACAAAGUGCAAGGAAAAAGGAGAGCCGGUCAAAAGCGUAAGAAGGGAAGAAGAAGAAGCGGGGCCCAUAGGCAGAGAGUCCAUUUCGAGACCUCUCUUACCUACCAACGGCUACCAUUCACCGUGCGGAUCCUGUUUCCGUGGACGAGCAACGACUCCUCCCUCCAAUCUCGUCCAUCCCCUCCUGUUCUUAUUCCUUCUCCGCCCCCUCCCCCAACACUGCUCUCCAUUCUUCCUUCAGCAGCUCCUCACGAUGAAGCCAGCACUGGCGCUUCUCCUCCCUCUCUCCCUCCUCCUCCUCCUCCUCCAUGCCUUCCCCCGUCCUGCCACCGCCCUCUGCGUCCCUCGCAACUCUUCCAACCCGAUCAACCUCGCGGCCCUCCCGCCACCUUCCGUCACUACCACCUCAAGCCCCGCGACGCCCUCACCAGCCCUGAAAUCGCCUUCAUCGCCCUCAAAUCCGUCACAGCUGCCGCCUUCCAAUACCACCCCAACCCCUGCGACACCCUCACCACCCUUGCAAUCGUCGUCACAGCCGUCGCAGCUGACACCCUCACCACCUGCCUUUUCGCAGCCCGCGGCCGCGGUCUCCACCCAAUUAUCCGCCCGCCACCCGCUUCUCAACCUGCUCCCCUUCGCCGGCGCCGUCAGCGCGCUGUGCGGCCACACGGACUACCCCGACGUGUGCGCCUCGUCGAUCCAGCCCCUCCCGCACCCGCCCGGCCUCGCCGGCCCUGCCGCCCUCCUGAAGCUGCAGCUGCAGGCGUGCCGGGAGCAGGCGGAGAAGGCGCAGGCGCACAUCGCGGCACUCGUCAGCCUCCCCGGCACGAAGGCGCGGGAUGCGAGCAGCCUCCAGGACUGCGACGACAACUACGACGACGUGAUCGACAACCUCGACGAAGCCGCGGCUGCCUUGGAGUCCAGGGACAAGGGUACGCUCAAAACCAUGCUCAGCGCCCUCGUCACCGACUUCUCCACCUGCGACGACGGGUUCGCGGAGAUUGCCAAGGUCUCGCCGCUGGCGGUCAUCGACGAGAUGCUCACCAAGUUGGCAAGCAAUUGCCUGGCGAUCGCGGCCUUGGUCUGAGCGGACCUCCCUGCUUCGGAGUCUUCUUCCUGCUCGUUCUCGUCAGUCCGUGCGUGCGCACGCGCAGUUCCAUUAGUUCCGAGUAGUGCAUGGAGAAGAGCUGAGCCCCGAUGAAGAAGAUGAAGCCUCUUCGCUGUUGUAAUUGCGUAGUGGGGUUUUGUUGCUCUCGUUUCAUGAGGGCUACCUGCGGAUGGUAACAUGUUUUGCCACAAUACAAUUGUAGUUGAUCUAAAGAGCGAGUAAUUAUAUGUAUACAAUAUUUUUAUUUUCUCCAUUUAACGAAUAUCAAUAUUCUUUUUAAAAAUAUUUAUUUAGUAAUAGCAUCAAAAGUAAAAGCCUAUACCUUAUUGUCAUAUAAUCGAUAUCUUAUCGUCGUUCAAAUGAUAUGAUACUUAAUUUAGGCUCACAAAAUUACUUACAUAAACUUAUAUUUUUUAGAUUCAAAAAGGCUUAGCAAGUACGCCAGGAGAGUCUUGUAGGAUUCUACUCAAACUCCUCUUCAUCCAAUAUCACUCCACUCAUAAAAUAUAUAUAUAUAUAUAUAUAUAUAUAUAUAUAUAUAUAUAUAUAUAUAUAUAUAUGUUAAAUUUUUUUUUUAAAGUCUCAAAGCUUGAAUUUUUUUCACGGAGCUCUCCAACUUUGAAUAAUUAUCAAAUAAUUUUUUUUAAUUAAAACAAUUAUUUUACUUUUAUUAACCAUUACUAUCUAUCAUGUCGAUCACUCUCCCUUGAUUAUCUAUGUCUUUUAUGCACAGGCUGAAGAUGUUUGCCUCUCUAUAUACAGGUUAAUCUCAUCGAUUAAUCCUUUCUAUGUAUAUAAUAUCCUUGAGAUUUUGGCGAGAACGAUUAGAGUUAGCAUGAGUGCUUAUGUCCACAUCCACAAUACUCCUAGGUUUAGCAAUGAUAUAAGGACAAUAAUGGAGAUAAUAUAGAGAAGAGGAGGCUACGAUUUAUUCAAUCAAAGUAUGAGUAAAACAAUAUAUUCAUGUGGCUAUAGGCGUGAAAAUUUUUCAAAGUUCGAACGUUCUAUGAAAAAAAUUUAAAUUUAAGAACAUAUAUAUAUAUAUAUAUAUAUAUAUAAGGCUUUAAUCGGGUUUCGGAUCCGGGACGGGUUAACUGAUAGGAAUACAACGGGAUGGGUUAAACGGACCUGUUUGGGCCGGGUCGACACGAAGGGAGCUGGUCUACACUCGGCCCUCGCUGAGUGGGCGGCUCUCCCUUCGCCAAACUAUAACAAUGGCACAAAGAGUUGGACGCCUGACCACAACCGUGGAGAAGAAGAGGUGGCCACGGACGGUGUUUUCCCGAUGGACGAAAAGGCGAAGAGGACACGAGAGCUGCUCGCCAGCUUCUACUCCACCGACCCCUCCGCCGGCGGUGGCGCUGGCGUCGGCUCCGCCGCCUCACCCCGGAAGAUGGCCUCCCCCGACUCCAUCAAUUCCCCCUCCUUCGAUCCCGACGUUUACAUGAGCCUCCUGGUACCGGAUCCUUCUUCCGCUUCUCCUCUCCCUCUCUCUUUGGGUUCUUUGGUUCCUCAUCCUGUCUGGAUCUGAUGUCGCGAACGUAUCAAAAAUCUUGGGCUCUUAUUGCGGUAUUUGAGUUGUUUGACUCGUAUUCCUUUCUGGAUCUAAUGGCGCUGUAAUGCUGUGGAAUCCUUUGAUUUCUCUUAGAUUUCCCCGAGAAUUUUGAACUCUCCCAUACGACUUUAGGUUCUUUGACUCGUAUUCCUCUCAGGAUCUAAUGGCGUCGUAAUGCUUCGUAGCCCUUCGAUUUAUUGUAGAUUUUCCAUCGAAGUCGUUAGGGAUGUUGGAAUUGUAAUUGAUGUAUGGCUUAUGGUGGUGGUGUCGGAGCCGCCUCCGCCCCUGAAUAGACUGCCUCCCUAAACUCCGUGAACUCCUUCGAUCCCAGCAGUUACAUGAGCCUUAGGCACCGGAUCUCUCUACCUUUGCGGGAUUACGGUCUACUUCUCGUCCUCUGGAUCUAAUGGCGUCAUUAUGCAUUGGAACACCAGAUUUCCCGUAUUGGAACCGUGAUAAGGUUGUGAAUCCGAAUUUUUUUACGGGAUUCAAAAGAUCUUCAUAUAGUGGAUUUGAUUUUCUUGAUUCUUGCCCUCAUGUUAGGCUCACUAGCAUUCAGCAGAGUUCAAAUUGUCAGUGACCUCUCCUAAGGAGUUCUAUUAGGCCUCUUGUUGGUCCUAAGAGUAUUCCUUCAAGAUGUUCUGAACCAUCAUGCUGUUCUUAGAGUCGAUAUGUUCAUCAUGGAGCGUUUGGUCUUGACUUUUCAGCUAAUACAUUGUGACUCUUUAAGCAAGCCGCUUUUGUCACAUCGUGAAGAAAACCGACACAACCUUUUUCUGUUUUUGCAUUUGGAAAGGCCACUUAAUUUUGUCCAUGUUAAGAGAUACAUAGACUGGGACAGACGAGAAGUUUACAAACUAUCGAAAGACAUACAGCUUCGAGUUUUCUCUUUUUAUAAACAUCAGAACAUAAUAUUUUUUAUUUCCAUUUUGUAACACUUUAUGUUUUAGUCAAUUAAUUAUUCACAUUUUGAGUGAAGAGUAAUAUUGUUGGUCUAAGGUUGAUCAUGAUUGCGGUUUUUUCAAGUUUUAGGUUCUUUGAGGUAUAUGAUACCACUCAAGUUAGAUAAUCCCAAAAGAUUUCCUAAGCAACUGGAUUAUCGAUGAAAGAUCUUGCUAUUGAAAUGCUUUUGAUGGAAUAAACUAAUUGCUAUAAUUUCAACGAACAGACUAUGAUUUCAGUGCCAUUCAUAGGAUGCUUUUAAGUAAGAGAAGCUUUGUGUAUUAGUUAGUCCAUCAACUAAGAGAAGCAUUAUUAUGCUUAACAAAGCUCAUUGGAUCAAGAACUGACAGAGCCGGGCAAUUGUUACCUGGAAAUAUAGCUGAAUAAUUUGUUUGGAAUGCUGCUGCAUACUAUUGUUUGAUAUGUUAGUAGGACAAGAGUGUUUCAUCGUAAUCCAGGAUGAUUUCUCAGAUUGGUGACUGUUUUUGAUAUUCAAUGCAUACUCUUUGUGGGUCCUUAUAAAUGCAAGUGAUAGGAUUUUGUGUAUAAAAGCAUAACAUAAGAUUGAGCUUACAGAUAUUUAUAUAUAAUAUAUAUAACUCUCAUACUGCAGGAGAAGUAAAAUGCGAAGCUAAAAUUAAAGGUUUCAAAUAUAAUCUAAUGGACAAUUUGCUUAGAUCAUGAUCUGUGUGCUCUCUGUACGAAAUAAUGUCCCUAGUAAUGUUGACAUCUUAGAAAAUAUGCACCGUCUGAAAAAAGUGCAAGAGAAGAACAGGGGAAGAAAGUCCACGAAACAAUAGAAAACAACAAAUCCAGCCAUCAGGGGAUGUGGGCACAUGAAUGGCACUAGAAAAGGAAAGAGAAAGAGAACCAUGGAAUGAGGUCAAACCAGGUGAAGUGAUAAGUAAUUUUUAUCUCCCUAACUGACACAAGGUCAUGCAUGUAGGCAAGUAUUACUGGAUUGGUAAGAGGAUAACCUGAAUCAUGAUAUUCUCAAAAUUGAUGGCAUUUUAUUUUGUCAUAAAGCUCAAUGUGUUCUAAAUCCUCGGAUUCAGGAAUUCAAUCGUUCACCUUUUCAAGAGAUAUGGUAAAGCUUGUCUCAUCAUGUAUGUGGACUCAAUUUAAAAAGUGAUGGCCACUACAAGUGAACAUAAGAUGAUUGCUACAUACUCAGGUGUUAUGUUUAACAAAAGGAUGAAAUUGUGUAGGCAAUCAGCUUUAGUUUAGUGGUAACUGGUGUUGCAUGAUUUGAGUGAACAAGUAUAUGUGGUCUAUGGUGGAGGAAUCAUGGUGGAGGAAUGUGAUUAAAUUCAACAUUUGCACUCUUGAUGACAGAGAUAAAUUGAUUUGUUGUGCAAAAUGCAACACCACUGUUGCAACUUCAUUCACUAGUUGCAUAAUGAUGCUGAUUUGAUGGUACUUAAAUUUUGCAAUAUGAUAUCAUAUGAUGAAUGACUUCUAUGAUUUCCUUUGUGCUUUCUGUAGGUUCAAAAGUUAAACUUGGAGGGACUUCUUCAGAAGCAUGUUGAGAUGGCAGCUGAAAUCAAGAAUCUUGAUACUGAUCUGCAAAUGUUAGUUUAUGAGAAUUAUAACAAAUUCAUUAAUGCCACUGACACUAUAAAAAGGUAAUGUUACUCAUUCGCUUACCAUAAUCUUGGUGUUACUGUUAUAUGGAGUUACUAUAUGUCCAUUUCUUAUAUUUUUUGCUGAGAUGGCUUAUUUAAGUUUUAUCCUUCCAUGAGAAUCAUGUUAAGCACACCUGGAAUACUUUUUUACUGAAUUGUGGUCUGCCUAAAAGGACAAAAUUGAAGCACCCAACUGGAAAAAGAAAGUUUAUACCAAGCUUCUAGUUGGUGCCGAAGCAAAAAUUUCAUGGUUAUGGUUGUCCAUUUGCUAGUUAAAUGUAAAAUUUCAUUUCUUUGAAGACUGAAUAGAGGUGCAGUCGUACAAAUUAUAAACUAUUUUGAAGGUUACUGAUGCUAUUUCAAAAUUUAGAGGGUGUAUGUGUAACAUCUUUUUGGGGCAUAAAGAAUAUUGAUUGAGUGUAUGAUUUCCUUACCAAAUUUAUUGAACUUGUGUUCUAAUCCAAACAAUAUUAGUAAUAUUCAACACAUAAAACACAUGCAAACAAUUAUGGGCCAAGCUAGUUUUGGCAUAAAUUUGUAUUUACCUAUUAAUGUGAGUUUACAGAAGGCGAAGAAGGAAUCUGAGUGUAUAUUGGUGUGCCUAUAAAUGUAGUUUUAUGCCAGCUCAAUAUUUAAGAGUUAAUAGUUGCGGUCAAACAUACAGGAUCUGAAAAAGAAAAAGAAAAAAAGGAAAAAAAGAAAAAGAAGAAAGAGAAGAAAGAGAAAAAAAAAAUGCAGGAUCUAAAUCACUACUGCACUUUGGAAGUCCGGUUCUUAUGCCCCCUUUUGUUGACAAGUUGUCUUCACACGCAAUCUUUUGUGGCUUCUUGUAGUUUUAGCAGACAUGUGAAGUCAACUUGAUUUGGAUAUUGCAUCAACUUUUCCAUUGUCUGUUUCUCCUUUCUCAUAUAUUUUAUUUUCUUUACAUCAUUUAUUGGAUUCUGAAGCAACACGAAUAGGAAGCUUGAUCAGUCUCAUAUUUUGUGGGUUUACUUUAGUUGUUUACUUGUUUUUGUGUAGUUACUGCUAUAUAUAAACUACUGUGCAUUUGGAAACAAUAAUGCUGCACACUAGCUUACUAAAGUUACUUGUAGAAUGAAAAAUAACAUUGUUGGCAUGGAGGCAAAUAUGGAGCAACUCCUUGCUAAGGUAUGCCUUUGUUGAAAUUUGGGCUGAAUGAUGACUUUCCAUUUAUCCAAAAGAGCUGAUUUAUUCCUUUUUGCUGCAGAUUACGUCGGUUCAAUCCAAGAGUGAUUUGGUGAAUACAUCUCUUUUUGAGAAGAGGGAACAUAUAGAGAAAUUGCACCGUACUCGGAAUCUUCUUAGAAAAGUUCAAGUAUGUUUUUGAAGCUAUUAACUUUUACUAGUAGUUUGAAAUUAAUUUUCUUGGCUUGGAACUAGAAGUUCUUAAAUGUAUUGGCUAUAUAAAAUUUUCUUGCACUUGAUAAUUUCAUAUUUGAGUGGUUAAGGUGUUAAGUGAUAAAAGUAUUCAAUGAUAUAUCUUGCUUGAUGUAUUUUUUUUGCUAACCAACUUAUGCACUAUGGAUACAGUAAAUUCGAUGAAUUUCUUUGCUUUUUCUUUGUGUCAUCUUUUGCUUGAAUAAGGUUUCUGAUAAUGGUCAUACAAUUUAUUUCAUCAUCACUGACUUGUUAAAAUCUGUAGCUUUCCUUGGUAUAUCUGCAUAAAUUCUUUGGCCUCUUUUAACUUAUGUGUAGCUCAUAAUAGUAAACCAAGCAAGAAUUAUGUUUUUUGGUGUAUAUUGUCUCUUUCUUUAUAAUUGUUCCAUCAUUCCAUGUUGAAAAAAAAAGUGAUGAAUUAUGUAUAGUUGAUGAAUUGCUUUUAUUGUUUGAGGCUUUAAGUUUUGCUUAUCGUAACAUAGAGUGCUUAGGUUACAGAUAUCUACAUAUAGAAAAUGAGAUUAGCUUGUGCAAGUAUCUUACCAGGUGCAUGAACACAUCCAUAGCUUUAACAUUUGUAAUUCAUAAUUGACCUGCUUGAGGUGUUUGAGAACAUGUUCAUGUAUGUUUGUUUUCUAUAAUUGCAGUUCAUUUAUGAUCUUCCAACUCGACUUGCAAAAUGUAUCAAGGCAGAAGCUUAUGCAGAUGCAGUGAGGUUUUUCAUUGGAUCUAAGCCUAUAUUUGAGGUAGAAUUUAAUCUUUCAAUUAAUUCAUAUCAUUUACUGUUUACUAAUAUUGCGUUAUUUAUUGUCAUUAACUUUGGUUGAUAUUGUUUAUGGCUGAUGUUGUUGCAAUUGUCUCUGGUUUACUAGGCAUAUGGGGAUUCAUCCUUCCAAGAUUGUAAGAGAGCAUCUGAAGAGGCAAUAGAUUUGGUUAUUAAGAACCUUCAGGUAACUCUAUGGACUUUAUGUUUACAUUGUUAAACUGAAUUAGUAUACGGAUCUAUCAAGAGACCAUUUUCUUUUAGUACCAUUCAUCUAUAUUUUCUAUGUGAAAUAUUGUGCAACCAAGGCCUGUCCCCGUCUCAAAUUGGAAUCUGAAUUUUUCAGUGAGGAAACCACAAUAGUGUGUAAAGGCUCAGUGUCAGUAACUAACUGAAAGUGACCAAUCAUUUCAUUGAUAACAGAAGAAAAAUCACUGUGGAUGGUCUAUUGCUGCAGCUUUCUGUAACUUAACCUUUUUCUUCCAAUUCUCUGUCACAAAAUUUCCUAGAGAACAACAGAUUCAAGGGAAAAUAAGUAGUUAAAAUCUAGUGCCUAGUUUGUACCACUUAAUUGGUUAUUCAUCAAUUUUUCUCCCUCCUUUGGGUUAAUUGCGUGUAUCUAUACUGGCUAAUCCAAGCUAAAAUGGUGGUCUGUAAUUGUUUAAAAACCAUACAUCAUGUCUGUGAUUUUGAUACCAGGAGUUCUUUUUGAGUAGGUCGUACAUUUCAGUAAGGUUUCAAGUUACUUCUUCACUAGUGUUGCUUUGAAUCCAAUGUUCCACAUUUCUUUAGAGUUUAGACAAAUGAAAAAUGUGCACAAUAUGACUAAGAGACCUCCAGAGCUUGGUAUCCAAUUUAUCAUCAAGGGUAUAUCUUCCUAGUGGUGUGCUCUACCUUUAUAAUCUGGUCAUUUGACUCUCCUUAACUCUCCUUUUGUUUUGGUGCUUAUACAUACAAAUUAGUCCAUAAGAGAUCUAUAGAUGCACUGGUAAAAUGAUAUGAAUCGACAAGGAUUAAAGGUGUGAAUCAAGUUAAAGUAAGAUCACCUCAGAACUAGUUCAACUGGGCUCGAUGGUUGGAAAAGGUCCAUCUGAUUGUUGUAUGUUUACUGAUUGAACGGAUGAUGUUAAAGACUAAUCUUGUUUUUUGUUUUUCAUCAGAUUCCGCCCUAUUUGGUGGAUGAAAUUUUUUCCACAAAACGUUUGUCGAGCUUUUAAAUUUCAAAAUAUUCUCUUCCUUUAUAAUCAGUAUUCAAAGUUUAUAGACAGCAUAAAUAUUGCUAUGGAAAACAUUAACAACCUAUAGGGAAAACAUUAACAACCUAUAGUUCCUUGCAUUUUGGAGGAGUGAGGUGGAGUAUACUCUGAAAAACUACAGAAAAUCACUUUAAAAUCUGCUGGUUGUCAAAUGUUAUCUGUCAGCAUGAAUAAAGUAUUACAAAGUAGAAAAAACUUGAAUUGGAUAAAAAAAUUGUGAUUUUUUUUCAAGCUACAUGCAAUAGUUGUUUUGGGAAUUAGAGUUAAAGAUAGGUUAAAAAGUUUUCCGUGAGAGCAAGUAUUUUUGCUCUUUCCUCUAAAGGUCUCUAAAUAAGCAUUUUGAUGCUAAUGCAAGUUUAUCAUCUGAGGCUAUGAACUUAAUACAUUGGAAUGGUUAUGCUGCUAGUAGAAGCUAUCUGUUUAAUUUGGUUCAUGUUUAGCAUCCAUAGCUUCUUGACUGCUUAUGUAUUGCCCUUAUAAAGGAUGAAAAAAGCCUGAGCAAGCUUUAACGUCAUAGGAACUUGCAUUGUUUAUAAGUAUUGACAUUUUAAUUUCUGAGGCACAUGAAUUUUUCUGGGUCUAUGUGCAAUUCUGUGUUUAGAAUGGCAAUGAUGAUUUCUGUGCAACUCUUCUUUUAAAGUAUAAGGUCUGUCUUCCCUGUGCUUGGGCAUACUUGGUCUUUGCUUUCUCGCAAGUGUCAGUAUAUUAAACAAAAGAUCUUCCAGUGAAGGAUGUUAGUGGCUUCAUAUUGGAAACCUUAAGCUAAUAAAAAACCAUUCUGUCUUUUGAACCACUGCAUCAAUUUAACUGGAGAUAUUUUUUUUCACAUGGUACCUACCUAGAUAAUUAGACAACUAGUCUAUAAGGUUUUUCAAUCUGUGUAUAGGAAAUUGAAGUUUAGAAGUUUUGGAAUUUUACCUACAAAAUUUGCACAUGUAUCAUUUAUUACUUGCUUUUGAGGGAAUGCCCUUCAUCAAUUGCUUAGAUUACUUGUUAUCAAGCAAUCUCAUUUUUUUUAAUUCAACCUCUUCUUUGCCUCCUGACUCUUGUGUAGCUUUUGACUCGUUUUAGAAUUAUCUUUUUUGUCAGUAUCUCUGGAUUCAAUGUUUUGAUUUGCAAGACAUGGAGUCAUAGUGAUGCAUGCUAACAGUCUUUGAUCUUCAUAAAAAAUGUGUUGCAAUUUUCAUAAGAUAUUUUUGGAUUCGUGAAUUCUGAAGACAAGUAAUUUCAGGCAAAAAUAUACUCGGAUUCUGAGCCUAUUGAAGCAAGAGCUGAAGCUGUUGUGCUUCUAAAGCAGCUGAACUUCCCUGUUGGUAUUUCUCCCUUUUUCUUACCUGUCUUCAAGUGUUAUUUCUUUCCUUUUUCUCCAGUUAUGCUAUUGCCUUUUGGUUUUCAUUCAUGAUUGAUCUGUUCAUUGUAUCUAUGAUUACUCAUGUCCCCAUAGGAGUUGGUCUUGAGUGGAUCACAGCACUUGUGGUUUUUUUCCUUUUACAUUUUCAUCGAGGAACCUGGGUUGGUCACACGUCACAGAAUAAGAUGCACUUAAUGCUUUAUGUAUUAGUUGAUUAUAUGCUGUAUACUGUUAUAAAUUGGCUAAUUGAGCACUCUAUUUUCUUAGGAUAACAACAUCCUGAUAAUAUAGCAGCUAAUCUGUUUAUUAUUGUUUCUCAUUAUUUUAAUGUCAUUCUACCAGCUAUUAGAUAUGUUGUGGCUAAGGAUUGGCAUUCCAUGUACAAAGCUUUUUAUGACUGUGUUCAUGUGUGGGUCAUGAUGUACCUUUCCGAUAGGGUACUGAUAUGAGCAUGGCAUGAUGCUCAUGUCACAACAUGUGCCAUGCUGAUUGGUGUCGGGCAUGCCAACCCCUGGCAACAAAACUAAUUUUAUAGGAAAGAGUGAUAUAAAAAGAAAAUGUUAUGAAUAAUGGUCAGAUUUGUGUAACAUGACAAAUUUACCAAAGCAGAAGCAUGAACCCUGCUGACCUAUGAAGUAUGAACAAAGGCCAUCAAAAUUUACCACAAUCUCAUCUCUAAUAACAAAUAUAUGACACAAAUUUGGAUUUACCAAGGGUUUUCUUUUGUCACAAGCAGUUUGAAAUCAUAAUCCAUUAUACUCUUGAUUCUCUAAGUGCAUAGUCUGAAAUGUACAAGUAAAGUCACUGCUUGAAGAAAUAAGAACUAGAAAUCUAGGAGUUUAAGAUGAAUGGAAACUACUUUGUCAAAUUAGUUUGUCUUAUGUUUAAUUCUUAUAGUCUUAUGUUGUUUUUUGUGUCAGGAAUCCACUAUAUGCAAUCCUUUUUCUAUUACAUUUUUUGCAACUUUAGUAUGUUGAAUAAAGUUGCUGAGAUAGGAACAUUGAGGUGAUUGUGUUGAGGAGGUGUAAUGAACAUGUGCUAGUGAGAUAGUGGGAGACCAAUACUAUCGGUGGUACUAGGAGAUAGAGGGAGACGUGAGAAACUUUACUAAAAACUAUAAAUAAAGAUUUAAAUGCUCUUAGUUUAAUUAAGGAUUUUGUUUUUUUACAAAAGUCAUUGGGCAUAUCUUUUCAAAGAUACAAUAACCUACGGCCCAAAUAGUUGGGACAUUGAAGCUUGUUGUUGGUGCAGUACCUCGGAUAAAAGGGAUCAUAAAUGUGGAUAUUUGGAGUUUCUGGGAGGAUGAGACCUCCCCCCACCCACCCAAUAAUGAAUGAAUAUGUAAUGUCUUUUUUCUUAGCACAAUGUGUUCACAUGCAUUAGAUUCUUUAUCCUCAGAACAAUGUUUAUUCUAUGUUUACCUGGACCUGUGGUUGAUAUCAUCUUAGCAUAAAUAAUGCAUAAUUAUCAUCUUAAAAGUGCAGUAGAUUAUCUGAAUCCAAUUUUGAUUGCCAACAAUUUUGUUACAUCUUGCCAGGUGGAUAGCUUAAAGACAAAGCUACUUGAGAAAUUAGAGGACUAUCUCAUGACACUUCAGGAUGAACAUAAGGAGACAGGGGCUUCAGCAUUGGACACCUUGGAGACUAGUGAACCAUCUGAUAUAGGAAAAUUAUCAGACACAAUACUUUCUUUAAAAACACCAACAGGCACACACAUGGUAGCUUCCAUCUGUUAUUCUUCUUCUAUUGAAAUUUGUCUUGUUCUUUAAUUUUUGUUUCAUAGAACUGGUAUUGGUUCCUUGAAUUGGUAUUAUGCAGCAGCACAUCUAUGUUUCUUUUGUUUCUUUCAGAGUAACUAGUGCAGUUGUUAUACAGAUCUAGUGCUCGUGCCUUCCUGGAAUUCCCCAUCUAGGAUUGUAUUUUGGAAGAUCUUUCCCUUUACAUUUGGGAUGUGAUAUAUUGUCGAAGGUUACCUAUUCAUUAGAAACAUUGGCUAAGAAUUAUAUAAUUUAAGAUUCUCCUAGAAAAAUGUUAAUAAAGAUGAAUGAUUCAUCAUUGUCAAGAAAGCGUAGAUCAGAUCUUCCAAAAAAACUAGAAAUAUGCAGUGCUGUGGAUUCCCAGUUUUUUGGCUUUGGUUAAUUACUUAGUUAUACUAAAUUAAAUGAUCUCAGGGCUGCAGAAAUUGAGUUUUAGAGACCAUCAGUUUUGAGCUAUGUUUAAUACAUAUUUAUACAACAUGAAUUCAGUGAGUUCUUGAUUUUAACUUAAAAAUGUGACAUAAACAUAGGUGUCCACAAGUGUUUGUGAGCUUGUAUUUUCUCAUUUGUUGAUCUGAUGGAGGUUACUAAAAUCUUCAUAACUCUUCUUUACUUUUUUGUGAUUAAUGAAAAUUUUAAUUAAUAUGCUUUUGGCAUUAACAGUUAGUUCCAAUGGGUUAUGAUAAUAAAGGCGUUGUUGUUGAAUUAUCUCAUUUUACUAGUUAUUUAGUUAUCUGAACCAGUUGAGUUUGGUACAUGUUAGGGUUUUUUCAGUUUUUGAAUUAAUUACCUCAACCAAAGUAAAAUGAAGGUUUUCACAAAGCUGGAAGGUUUGUUCACAAUUAUUUUUGCUUUAGAGGGAUCAUGUACAAAAUUUUAGUGACUUGUAGUGAAUAGAAGGCUGCUCUAGUUUUUUAAGUGGGUUGCCUUCUUUGUGCAAAGAACUUAUUGUGUUUGCUUGUAGCUCCAUUUUACACAUAUGACCACUAGAUUUUCUUGUUAUCCUUGUUGAAGUAUGGUGAUUCCCUUGUCAUUCAAGUUAUUAGUUUUUUCUUGUUUGUUAUCAGUUGGGUUCAGGUGAUAACAAUCUUUGAUCUUUUAUACAACCUUCUUUACCUAGGUUUCUGUUGGUGAGGUCUCCAAGAUUAUCCGUGCCUAUCUUAUUAUAUUUCCUGAUUCGGAAAGACGACUCAUUGAACUUAUACAGGAGUUGUUUACCAAGUAAGUUUUUAGUUCUGUGAUUGAUAAGUUGAGUCUUAUUUUUAAAUGUGUUUGUAUUUUGUUUCUCAGCCUAAAUAAUUUUGAGAAGCUUUUGAAGUCAUUUGUACUUAUGACUUAUUCACUGUUGUACUUGAAGGCGUUAUGGAAUUAUUGAACGACGAGUAAAAGAAAGGAUGACAUCUGCAGAUAUACUGAAAAUGAUACGUAAGGACUUUAGCUAUGAAUUUAUGCUGUAUGUGGAUCACCAUUACUCUGAUGUUCUCUGAAUUUUGUUGUUAAUUUACUUUUAAAAUGCGGCUGCAUAUCUUUUCUAAAUUUCAGUAACACUCUUCACUUGGUAAGCAUCUACAUGUGUGCAUCCUGAUGUUAACCUAUAUAUAUUUAAAUUUCUUUUGGCAAGACAUAUAGGUCUAACACAAUAAUAUUAUCUCAUCCACUAUCAGGACUUUGAUUUACAAUUUAUUUGUGUCCAUGGACAUCAUAUCUGAUAAUGUUUCUACUUAAGUCUGUAUGAUACAACCCAUCGAGGUCUUUUUUGGUUGCAAUCUUCUGGACAUUUAAGAUGCCUUCUCAUAUUGGUGAACUAUAACCUACAUCACACACAACCAAUCUGAGUUGCUUGAACUAUCAUUACCUAUUUGUGCCACAAAUUAAUUGCUUCAGUGUCUUUUGAUGCCAAGCAUUUUGUAAUAUUUACCAAUUCAACAGUUGUAGUCAGUGACAAAUAUCUUAACUCUUAGGUUUCUAUAAUGGCUUGUGACCAAUAACAUGCCGAUUCCUAAUGGAACAUCCACCAUGUAAAAUAGAUAAAUUUUCAUUUCUAAAGCUGUUCAUACUUUGUCUUUUGUAGAUUGUUCUAUAAUGGGACAAACAAUUUUGCAGCUUGUAAGAGUUAUAUAUUUCCUACUUAAUAUUCCAUUGACAUAAUGCAGGAGUUAUUUGGGAAGAUGUGACACUGAUGGAUGAAGUAUUGGCUGAGGCUGCUCUUCCUGCUUUUUCUUUAGAGGUUUUUCUUUUACUCUUUAAUAAUUUUGACAUGAAUAUUGAUCACUACUAUGUUGUGCCUUAAAACAUUUUCAAAGAAUUGUGCUUCUGCUCACAGAAACAGGAAAUGUACUAUAUUUUUUUCGUCAUUUCAGUACAUAAGUUGAUCUUGCAUACAUUUCUGUUUGUUUAUAAAAGUUCAUAAAACUUCAAGUUGAAAAAGUUUAAUCCGUCAUGCACUAAGAACAGUAGAUGAACUAGACGAAUUUGUUGAAACCAAUUCAGUUUGGUAUAUUUUAAGAGACUAAUUAUCUCGAGUCUGAACAUUUGAAUUUAUCAUCAUUUAGGAGCAUCACUGUGCAUUGUUAUCUAUUUUUGUUGAGGAUAAUAGGACUUAGAUUAAUAAUUAUAAACCAUAUACCAAGGUUUGAAGUUCUUGUGGAACUGGAAUGAAACACGCUGUGUUUAAACUGUGCCAUAUUGAACAAAACAUGCUGUAUUUAAGCUUGUGCCACAUGGCACCGCCUUUUGUGGCAACAGCAGAAAAAAUGUAAAGAAAUAAUUAAAAGAAAAUGUAAAAUUAUACAUAUAAACUUUAUAAGAAUAGAUAAAAUGAAAAAAAAAAGAAAAACUUGGGUAAAAUAACUGUACUUGCAUCGUAUAGUACCAGUGAGUCCAAAACUGGUUCUCAUUUGAGACAUGCAUCUUAGGUUAGUUGAUCAGUUGUUUCCAGUGUAUCUGCCCUUCCAGAGGUCUUUUAAAAUAAGCUCAGAUCAUGCACAUGAUGUGAGCUCAGAUCAUCUUAGGUUAGUUGAUCAGUUGCUUCCAGUGUACCUGCCCUUCCACAGCGUGUUUCAUUCCAGUAUAGCACAUGAUGUAUGUCUGAUAGAGAGCCAAAAGACAUGGGUGGGCUAUAACAAUGACUUUAAUAUUUCUCUAUAUUGUGGGACAGAGGAACGAACACCAAAAGGAACUCAAGAAGUUUCUCUUGUAAUGCUUAGAUCACUCCUUAGCUCUGGUGGCAUGAAAUUUGGUUGCCUCUAGUAUUUGCUGUGAGAGUUUUGAAAUCGAAGCCUUAUGGUUUAUUUAUCAAAAUUAAUUUUUAAAGCAUGAUUAAUAUCCUCAGAUACAUUGUAGAUUAUGUUGAAAUGUUUUUGUUCUUCAUGAGAGUUUAGUUUGUGAUGUUCCUCUGCAUGAUUCACAUCCUUGGAUACAUUGUAGGUUACCUUGAAAUGUUUUUCUUCUUCAUGAUAGUUUAGUUUGUGAUGUUCCUCUGCUUAUGGGUCUUAUUCAACUUUAUUUUAGGCUGCUAGGAGUAUCAUCAGACAAUUUAUCUCGACUUCCUUCUCCCAUCUUCUUCUUGAAGUUUCAGGUGAUACUCUUGCUGCUAAUGGUGAUCCUUUGUAAUUUGUGAAAGCAUCUUUGUUGACAUGACAUUGUCAGAAACUUUCAACUUGAGGAAAUAUUACUUGCUCACCUUUGCACUUAGUAGGUGGUACGAACAUAUAUAUGCAAUGGGAAUAAGGAGCACUUCUGAUGUCAAGUCUGGAAGAAAUAUUUAGACUUCCAGAUUCAGAAUUAAGAAAUAUGACUCCAGCCACUGUGGGGGAAAUCGAAGUCAUGAAACAAUGGGAUAUGUGAAUUGAUAAUAGAUUGCCUAAUAGUCUCUUGACUGCAUUUCUUAUCAACUUUCACGUAUCAACUGUUUAUUACAAGAACUUAAUAUAUCAAGUAUAAAGUGGUAAGAGUUUCCUUGAUAAUUAACUGCAAGUCUUAUUAACUUUUAACUGUCACAAAUAAAUAAAUAUGCCAAUUGCUGUAGAUUUAACUCAAGAGCCAAGUCUGGAAGCGACUAGUAAGUUUGUUAUUCUGUCUAUUAUAAGUGUUUAUCUAGCAGUAAUAAAGCCAAUGCAUAGAUUUCUCUGUAGAUCUGAAUGUGGAUAUACAAAUAUCAAUGUUCUUCAGAAUUAGAUUUAUAGGUUGUCAAUUUACAGGUUAUAUGGCCUAAAAUAUGUGGCCAAAAUGAUGUAGAUGAAGUCAAACAUAAGAAGGUCAUGUGGAAAGAAAGCAAGUUACAUCUGAAAGAGAGGAUUUUGUGUUAAUAUGAGAUGAGAAAUUCUUUCCUGCUAGCAUAUGGUUGUAGAUCCACAGUUUUCUCUAUUCUGGUAUCAUGUCUAUGAUUUAACUCUAAGAUAGUGGGGUUAUUUCAUUAUAAUUCAUAUGUACUUUUGGAGACAUUUGAUUUUAUUUUUUGCUUUAAUAUUUCUACCAUUAUAGACACAGUGCAACCUUAUUCUCUCCUUGUUCAGUUGUAUAAACAGUAUAUAAUGAAGUCAUUCAUUUUCAGCGCUUAUAUCCUUGAUGGAGGAAAUAAUUUCACAACAAUCAUCUGGAUUUGAAUGUGUUGUGAAUAUUAGUGAAGAAAUUAGUUAUUUUACUUAUAGGAAAACACUUCUUUUCUUAAUUUGGCAGAAGCACUUGCCAAAAGCCAACCUAUGCCAAAGAAAGGGUCAGAAGAGUCUUCAUUGCAAAAUGCACUGGAAGGCAGCAAAAAGGUUGUGAUACAGGGUAGUUUGGAUCUCUUAUUGGUAAGGCUUGUAGUUCAGUGAGAUGAUUAUUAAAUUUUAUCUUCAUCUAAGGAUGCGAACUACAUAAUAAUAGUUUCUCUUUUGUUUGGUACAAAGAUGCAGAGUUGAAUUAGUAUUUGACUAAUUCUCAAACCAGUGCACUGAAUGAAAUUGUACAUAUGAGGAUUAUACUGUUUCUUUAUAUGACAAUUCAUGUUUUUGAAAAAUUAGAUUGAUGUAAAUUGAAUAUCAAUUGUUUGUUCUUGUCUUAUUAACCUUCUGCUGGAAUGUAAUUCUUGAUUGUUUUAGACAAAUUACGAGUCAUUUCUUUGAUGUAUGAUAGAUUACCUCUCUUUGUAAAUUAUACUUUUUUAUGGAGUAUGUCUCUUAUUUGAAUUAUGGUGAUGGUUAAAUUCUGCUAUUUACAUGAUUGGCCUCUUGUGCAUCUCUCUCAGUGAAAUUCUGAGGAAGGUUCCAUGUCUUAGGAAGUACAAAUUAAUGCUCUUUGGUAGCAUUCCAAUGCUUAUGAAGAACUAACAUGUCUAUACUAUUUACAAGAACUUAUAUGCAUGAGUUGGCAUCUGAAAGGUGUCUAUAUUUAAGAAAAAAGGUGUCUAGACUUUGAGUAGCAUAUGCAAGAAGUGAUAAGUGGUCAAUCAACAAGCAAACCGGUUGCAAUUGUGAACAAAGAUAAGAGGGCAUCAUGUGAUGAUGGAUCUUUUAUUUCUUGGCCUAUGCUAUGAUGUUUUUGUGAUACCAACUAAUAAAGGAACCCAUUAUUUUUUUUCUCUGAGAACAUGGCAUGAAACUAAAAAGUAUAAAUCAAAGAUGUAGAGGAUGCAUAAUACUAGCUAAGUUUCUAGAUUGCAUAUGUUUGUAUUCUGAUGUUUCACCAUAUCUGUCUUCAUUGCAUCUUUUUCUUUUUCUCACUGCCUAUUGGUGUUUGAAUGUGAAGACGGGAAAAGUGGAACCUUCACUGACAAAUAUAACUGAUUGCGCAGCUGGUUAUCAUCAGCUUCGUGUUGAUGCUUUUUACCAAUGAAGUGCUCUUUGUAUUAGUGUUGAGAGAUCAUUUCAUCUUUUGAUGCAUAUAUUUAUUGUCAAUCCGUAAUGGUCAAGAUUUUUACAAUUAUUAAAAGGUCAAUGUUAUUGACAUUGUCUUACCAGAUUCCCUCUAUAAAUGACUUUAUUGUUCUCUUCAUUUCUUAAUAAAGUAUUCAAGCCUGCUUGAGGUAGCUUUGUUCAUCACUCGAAGGUCAUUUUGCUCAACUGCCUGCCAUGAAUGAAGGAUUGUACAGUAGGCUUUAGCCUUACUAAGAAGCCAAAGUAUAGGCAACAUUGAGUGCAAAAGUUAUCUAUUUUAUCUUAUAAGCUGUUUCAUCAUCAUUAGUGAUACUUAUGUAGUUUAUAUUAUAGAUCUUGGUAUGAACCUAGGCCAAUGGGUGUUGUUCAGAUUUCACCCUAUAGGACCUAUAGUUUAUAUUCUAGAUCUUGGUAUGAACCUAGGCCAAUGACUUUAUAUUUCCUGUGUUUAGGUACACCCAAUGUGGACAACAUAAUAAAUAUUUAAAAUUGCUGAUAAGUACAAACUCUAAAAAUGCAAAGACAGAAGAAAGUGCUGCUUUGGGUUAUUUGAUUUAAUAUUCUUGGAGAUAAUGCAAUAUGAUUGGAUCUUGACUGACAUAGGAUAUUUUUCAUCUUUAAUAGGAUCAAUUUUAAAAAAAUUAGCUACAUCUCUAUGGACUUUAUUUUCUUGUUGGUAAUACAAGAUUUUCUCAUUGAUGGAAAGAAAACCCUUGGGGCUCUUCAUAUGUAUAUCAUAAAAAAAAUUCCUCUGGAUUGAAGUAAUUUUUGUUGGAUUACCAACUAUGGGUUCCCGUAUAUGACAUCAGGCACCAAAAAUAUGGACUGACAAUUUGAGUUGUCUGAUGUAUGGUAUAUUUUUUGACCAAAUCCAGUGGGCCAUAUAGUUUUGUCGCAUAAAUGUUCCUCAUUUGAGAGAGUAUCAACCCUUGUUUAACCUUAUUCAAGACUCCUUGAUAUGUGAUGUUUAGUCCCCUUCCUUAUUUGUACCAUGACAAAUUAGCAUAUUUUAAUUUAGUUUUUUGUUAAAUUUAUCUGGUGUGAUUGGUGUAAUUAUGUAAUUAUGCAACCCAUUAAAUGCAGGAAUUCCGUCAGCUUCUUGAUGAUAAUUUGGAGUUGCUAGCAAAGCUGAGAGACCUAAUAGUUGAUUGGGUGCAAGAAGGUUUCCAAGGAUUCUUUCAGAAACUCGAUGAGCUGUUUCUUGCGCUUUGUGGAAGAGGUUAUAUUGCAAAUCCUGAUUCAAGUGUAAUAGAUGCAAUACAAGUGGACAAAGUGCAGACAGGACUUGUUCUUGUGCUGGCUCAACUUUCUGUCUUCAUAGAGCAGAUUGCAAUACCCAAAAUUAUGGAGGUAGAGCUAAUGCCUUAUCUUUUAUUUUCUGUACUACAUGCUUUGAAUGACAAAAUUCUACUGUAUGUUGUCUUAAUUAUGGCUAGUUUUAUAACAGUCAAGUGAUAUUAUGAUUCUUUAUAAUAUACUUGUUAGGAAAUAGCUGCUUCCUUUUCUGGAGGUGGUGCCCGUGGCUAUGAACAUGGACCAGCUUUUGUACCUGGUGAGAUCUGCAGAAUAUUCCGUUCAGCUGGUGAAAGGUUCUUGCUUCUUGUAAGAAUUUCUCUCUAUUUAUUGCUCUGGUUAUCCAAUGAGAGUGUUGAAUUAAGCAUGCAGCAUAUAAUGAAUUUGUUAAAUCUAUGCCAUUGACAAAAUUGAGACCAUAACUGUAUCGAUUCAUAGACAAGGAGGUAUUUUCUGAUUGCUGCUUCAGUUGCAAUAUAUUGACCAUGUAGCCUAUUAAUGUAUUGCAAAAGUAAUGCAUGCUGAUUGCUCUGCUGAACCAAGAUGUGAUCUCUGUAAGGUUGUUGUCACAGUUUAAAGUGUUACUUUGUCUAGAUUAGUUAACUUAAUUAGAUUGAAAUUAACCAUUUUUUUUGAGUUCAGAUUGUCAUUAUGGAGACUCUGUCGACUAGAAUAAUCAAGGAAAUCAUACAUUCUAUUUUAUGAUAUAGCUAACGUUAAAAAAUUUGGGGUAUCAUCUCUUCUAGAUUAAGAUAUAGGUUGACUAAUUGAACUCAACAUAUUAAGCCUUUCUCACUGUCGUUUUUAUCCUUUACUGCAUUUUAGUACUGAUACUUUAAUUUGUGAUGCAACAACAUCUGCAUACUGAUCUUGAUAGUAAUACCUUGUAGUAGCUUAACUCAUUGCCAUGCUUAUGUACCUCUUAUGAUACAUUUUUUCUUUAUCUGAUCUGCAGUUUAUUGUACAUAGACCAGCAAAAAAGUACAUGAACCUUUAUGAUGCUACAAUAAGCAUGGAUAACAGAUGUGAUUAGUGCUUUUGCUCUGUUCUAGGACAAAAUACUGCAGCUAAAAUGGCCAUGGACUGCAGAAACAGUGGAUUUGCUUCAGUAUUGCAUUCUCAUAGAGAGAGCAGGUUGUAGAUGGAAAAAGAAAUAUCUUCUUGUGGCUCAGAUUUGCCAAUGCCUUUCAGGGAUGGCACAGUACCAUGUUAUUCCGAUCAUAACAUCCCUGUCCCUGCUAGUACAAGCCAAAAGAUGGUCUAGCCAUGUUUUGGCAUGGCUCAACAGUGCACUUGCCAGUACCUUUCUGGCUUAUCUAACUUAGACCUAUUAUGGCUCACGGUUAAUCGGGACCUAACUUAUAGCUUUUUGCCAAAACCCAGUGAACUUAGACUAACCAAAGCUGUUGGUUAAACAUUUGAAUGUAUUAGUUGCAUCUCAUUAAUUAUGAUUUAAACUUCAGUUUUGUGUGUGUAUGUGUGUGUGUGUGUGUGUAUAUAUGUAUUGGAAGUUCACUGGUGUUAAAGUUUCAACAUAGAAAUGAGUAAGGCUAUGAAACUGUGGUUUUUAUUGAUAUGCAGAUAGUUGACUAUGAAUGAACUAAACUGUUUGAGUGGAGUAGGCUACUUGGUAACUAGAGCGACCAUGUGCUACACAUUGGAAAGUUAAAGUGGUUUCCAUUUCUGUAGGAAAUUAGUGAGAUCAUUUUUUGUCUCAAUAUGACUAGUGAGGCUGUGUGGGUUCAUGGUAAAUAUUCACUUACAAGGUUAAAGAGCAUAAUUUAACCACUUCCUUAUAUGCCAUGGUAACUUGCUAGAUGUUGAAAAUGAAGAUGGAAAAAUAAGUUUAUUCUUUUCAUUAAAAAGGAAUGUUACCUGUGUUGCAUGUUUGUACGCAAGGCAGAAUGGUAUACUAAUGAUUAUCACUUCAACUUGCAGUGAAUUUUCUGGUUAUUUUUGUUCUAUUGAUAUACAUGAGAGAAAUCUUUUCUAAUGUGUUACUAAAUGAAUGAAGUCAAUGGAUCAAGGAUUGCAAUUUCGGUCUAUACUGGUGUCCCUAGCCCUACUUGGUGUAGUACGUACUGAUUAGGGUUUUUAAAUUAGAAAUAAAUAUAAAUUUAGUAUAAUUUUAGCAAAAAUAAUGUAAAUUAGGAAAGAAUAGUGUCACAUCUUUUUCGAGUUUUGAGAAGUAGCUUUGUGGAAUGCUAGGGAUCGUCCUUCCAUUAAUAUUAAAUUAUCUACAAAAAAAUAUUUGAAUUGUUAGAUUAUUUUUUAUACAACUUAAACUUUAAGAUUCAAAUAAAUUAAGUAAUCAAUCGAUGGAUAUACAUGGUUUUGCUACCAAAAAGAAUGACGGGACUCUACGAGUGAUUGAUCGGGGCCCUCGAUCCUAUGUAUUUGUAUAUUAAUAUAAUAUGUUUGUCAGACCCAAUCUUGAAAUUGAUCCCACAACAUAGUAUACUGAUAUAUCAUAUGCCAUUGGUGCAUCAAUGUGGUGAUGGUCGUAGUCGGAUUGUCGUGAACCACGUGUCUGAGGCGGCUCCUAAUGCAAAAACGAAUAUGACAUAUAUUGGUGCGGAGCAUAGAGAAUGUUAGAACUUCUACUUUUGCUAUUGAUCUACUGCUUCAUAUCGUAAGAUCGAUUAUCGUACUGUUGCUCAGAGAAGUAUGACCAACUAUCACCAUACUGUUGUUGGUCGUAAGAUUCUCCAUAGUACGACAAUUAUGAAUACAAUGAGCUUCAUUCUGUGUUUACGUCGUGUAUGUUCUAUCGCAUCUGCCCAAAAUCAUCCAUUAGCUUCCCCUUCCCCUUCCGUGCAUAAACUUAAAAUGAGUUGAAAGAGGGGGGAGGAAAGAGUUUAAAAACUCUUUUCUAAGCCCAAACGGUCAAAUUAAUUGUUUGAAAUAGGGCAAUCUCAGCCCUUGAUCGGUAACGGUCGAAAUCCGAUCGGUACAGGAUGGAAACAAUCGGAUUUCAAUCAUGACCGCCCGGUACUGAUCUCGUAUCACCCAAUAUAGGGUCAAAUGAUUGGUAUCGUCCGAUAGAGGGCAGUCCGCAUACCGGUAUCCUGUCAGACCGGUAUGUACUACCCGUAUUAGGCGGUAUGCAUCAGUACAGCAAACCCUGCAAUCGACUGACCUUGCUACGACUAUGAGGGUUCUGUUAUGAUCAAUAUAAUUAGGUAUGAUUAUAGCUAUUAUUUUGAUGCAUUUACAAAAACCAAAGAGAUUAUUGCUUUAAUUUUAUUGUGAAAGAGUUGUUUUCUUUUACCUACCUAUUUUAUGGUCUUGAAAUCUCUCUAUGGUCACAGCUAAUUAAUUUCUUUUUUGCAGUAUAUAAAUAUGAAAACCCAAAAGAUAUCUAUCCUUCUGAAAAAGAGGUUCACCACACCUAACUGGAUCAAGGUGAAUGUUGGGUUGAUGGCUAGUUUGGCUUCAUUGUAUUACUUAAAUACACUUUUCCACUUGAUGUUUAUGCUGAAUAUUUUGACAGCACAAGGAACCACGAGAAGUUCACAUGUUUGUUGACCUGCUGCUUCAAGAGGUCUGUUAGCUUUCUAUGUGAUCCAUUUCUUCAUUUUUUUGUUCUGUGCAAUUUUCUGUCGACUUUCUAUAUGUGCAGAUUGUUCUGACCAUCGAACCAGUGAAGAUAUUUCAUUUGAAGUUACUUUUAAGUAUCUGAUGUUUCUGUGAGAUUUUGUACUGCUGGAACACGGUUUAAGUUACUGUAUCUGAAGGAUAAUUGAUGUUCUUGCAAACAGUUGUCAUAGAAUAAGGUUUACCUAUUUGUUUAUGAUAGCAACAGAAGAUAGAUUAAUUUUGGGUUGCAAAUGUUUAUCUUUUUCAUAGCCUUAAUGAUGCUUGCAACAGGAACAGUGGGAUGUACAAAAGAACUUGUUUAUCAAACUAGCACUGGAGGCUUGCUGAUACUAAGCUGAGCUCCUUGAUUAAGACACUACUUUUUAAAGAUGCAUUCAUCAUUAUUCUUUCUUUGUAUUCAGAUGGAGAGGAUAGAGGGUAAAUUUUAUAAUCCAAAUUGGCAGUUUGUUUACACUCCAAAGUUGACACUAAGAAGAUUAGUGCUUCCUACAGUUCAUAAUUUUUUUUUUUUAUGUGGGUUGAGUUGCCAGACCACCUACAAGUAAUUUAAAUAUAAGAUUUUGGUCAUUCUAGCUUUAUAUGCUAGUUCUAGUUUUUUAUUUUAAAUAAAAAAAGGGAUAUAUAUAUAUAUAUAUAUAUAUAUAUAUAUAUAUAUAUAUAUAUAUAUACACACACAUAUUAAGAGGAAAUAAUUGGUGUUAACAUGCUAAAAAUAAAAAAUACAUGAGCAUACACAUGUAUUUAGAAUAGUUGAGGGAUGUAAAUUACCCUUGUCCAUGAGAAAUUGUGAUCUUCUUGGGAUUAGUGGAUCUGAAGCCACAAGCUCGUACAACUCGUGAUUUUAGGUAUGUCAGCAAUCAUAUGUUUGAUGACUUCAUUGAACCGAAGAGCCCCCUGAAUUCCAUAUUAUUUCACUUCACCAAAUGCAUAGAAAAACUUCACAAAGCUAUGACAGGUUGCACUGUUUUUGUGACAUCUGGAGUUGCUGAAUGCAGUUUCUGUUGUUAAUGAAGUCUGUUGGAGCUAUGUUUAAGUAUUGGUUAUCGUGUUAGUAUUUGUUAAAUCUUCUUGGAAAGGCUUCAUGGUUAUCAUGGGGCAAGGUCAAUUUCUUUUUAAUGUUUUGAUAGCCCAUCGACAUGAGUCCUGUUAUAUUUUUAACAAGGAUUGAUUUAACUAGUCUCUAUUUCCUUGCAGUUGGAAGCUGUAGGAAUCGAAGUCCGACAGAUCUUACCUCAAGGACUGGUUCGGCGGCAUCGCCAUUCUGACAGUACAGGGAGUACUAAUUCUUCUCGUAGCAACCCAACACGUGAAGAUAAGUUAACCCGAACAAAUACACAGCGAGUGAGAAGCCAAUUUUUAGAAAGUCAUCUUGCCAAGUUAUUUGAACAAAAGAUGGAGAUAUUUACUAAAGUUCAGUACACACAGGUGAGAACCGGUUGAAACUUUGUAACAUAGCUAGACUUCAUUAGUGUUCAAGAGUCCUGUCUUUCGGUUGGCUAUGAUGGUAAUCAAGUAGGUCAUAAUUGUUUAUGUGCCAACAUUUUCUUUAAAAAAAGUAGUAUAAUAAGGUGGUUAUGUUAAAACUGUAAUAACUAUAUACUGUCAAGAAUGAACUACUUGUAAUGAAUCAUUCUUUCCUUCAAUGUAAUGAAACUGACUGAGGUACCAACGAAGUCAAGUAUUCGGCCAGCAAUAGUUGAUGCUUGUUGAUAUAGAAGUUUGGUGGUUCUAAUAUUGUGAGGCUUUAGUUAGUGUCAUACUGUUUUCUCAGUUGGCCUGUAGUAGCUAUUCUUAAUUGGAAGGUUAGUAAUAACUAAUAAGAGACUUUGGAAUUUCCAUAUACUGGCUUUAACUCUUUUUUAGCAAUUGCAAGCUAUAAAAUCAUGGCCAGUAUCUGUAACAUAGUAUCGCUGGAUAGUAAAUUGUCUAUUUAGUGAACCAUAAUGCACCUAAUAUAUCGAUAAUUUGCAGGAGUCAGUUAUAUCGACCGUAAUAAAAUUUUGCCUGAAGAGCUUACAAGAGUUUGUGCGACUCCAGACAUUCAAUCGUAGUGGAUUUCAGCAGAUUCAGUUGGAUAUUGAAUUUCUGAAGAAUCCACUGAAAGAGUUUGUAGACGAUGAUGCAGCAAUUGAUUUCCUGCUAAAAGAGGUAAUCACAUGUCAUCAGUGCAUAAGGCUUUUGUCAUUUAAGAUAAUUGAAAGUUUUAUGGUGGCUUGUCUUUUCUGCAAUUUAAUCAAUAUUCAUUUAGCACAGACGAUACACUUUAUUUGUCUUCUUAUUAUGGUAUACCGAAGAAUUGAAAUUUCAAAUAUGUUGAUGUCCUGCCCUUUCAGUAAGUAUCUAGAUAGUGCAUCAUUGUGUUGAAGGAUUAAUUUAUUUGAUAUGUUAAUGUCGUAGUGGAUCCAUAACAACACUGCCUUCAGGUCUGAUAUAGUGAGUAAUUCUCGGUCCUAGUGUCAAUUUAACUAGUUUUCUGAAUUACUAGUAAGAUAUGAGCUUCACAACCAAAAACCAGUUCCACUGUGUUCUGGCGGAACUCGCAAGACUUACAUUUUAGUUAUUUAAGAAACCUCAGAGGGAUUAUAGUAAAUUACACUGCAGUUGCUCCUUCAAUGUACUACUUAACCUUAAAAAGUUAAAAGAACCUAUCUAUGUUCCUUCUAAGGUUUCAUAAACUUUCAUAAAUAUGACUCGUUGGUGUCCGAGUUGGCUUAUGAUUCUUGCCUAAUUAUGACAAACUCAUGAUAGUCACUUUUAACUCCCACAUUUGUGUUUAAAUGAUCCAGCAUUGACCAAGAAAAUGCAACAUUUAUAGCUUCUGUUAUUGAUUAAUUUCUGAAAUUUCGUGUUGCAGGUGAUUGGUGCUGCUCAUGAAAGGUGUCUUGACCCAAUCCCCCUCGAGGCUCCCAUUUUAGACAAACUCAUAAGCACAAAGAUAUCCAAGAGCAGGGAGGAGAACCAAAGUUCCUCUUUGGCGUAGAAAAUGGAGAACUUCGGAGAAUCUAUCUCCAACUCUGUUUUGAAGUUUAAUGUGUAAUUUUCUCACCUUCGGUCAAUUCAUUUCAAGCUUAGGGGGUAUAACAUAGGUUCUUUAUCAGGUUGUACAUAGUGUUUAGACCUCCAGAUGACACAUCAGGUUCACCAGCACAAACAGUAGAAUUAUAUUUCUUAUCUUCUCCCUCUUAGCAGCUAUGCAGUCAUCAGAAAGUUCAAAAUCCAGAACUAUGAAAAGAAUCAAAAAAAAAUUUUGGAAACCAAACACUAAUCAUCUUCACGGGCCACCAGGAGUCAUGGUACAUUAGUUUCGCGUUCUGCAAGUUUUUCUUGAUAUGAAAAUGGUGUUCCUUGGCCCAAAAGACGUCCAAUCUUGGCUUAGACGUACCUUAGUAGUGAUAGCAUCGUCUGGUUCAUGGCUCUCUGGAACAUACGGGAACCUGAAUUGUCAAAGGAACAAAACAUUGAUUGUUAUUUUUUUCCCCAUUUCCUUGCAGGAUACAAGAAUCUGACAAAGCCCAAGUUGCUUUUUGUCUUUUCUGAGAGAAGAGGCUUUGACGAGCACAACUCCACAGAAGAUCCAUUGCCAGCGUUCUUCAUGUCAUGUCUUGGUAUCUUCUUACUUGUUGGAGCACGGCCGGAUUCUUAAGCUUGUAAGAGGAGAAUGUUAUUGAAUUUGAUUGGCUUUCCUUUUGCAGGGAAGCAACCCCUACUUGGUAUUCGAACUCUCAUGACAAUGCUUUUGUCCAUGAACAGCUGUUUUGAAUAGCUCUUUUAUGUAUGUAGUAGAUUUCUGUUAUAGUUACGAACGUCAAUAUAAGAUUAAUCUCCGAUAUUAACAUUGAUUAUUGCGUUUUCUAGGCGCAAACCUGGUGAGAAUUUGGCUUCAUGUGCAUGACUUAUAUAUAUCCUAUCAUGAAAACUUUGUGGUUCUCACUUAUUACUUGCAUGGUUCUCUCUGCAAGAGGUCCUUUAUUACAAACAUCGCACAGUAACAUUUCUACUUUUUGGUGGGAAAAAGAGGUCAUAACAUGUUUUAGUCCUUCCAGUGCUAGUCCUUCAAUGAAUGCACUCACCUGUCUUCAAACUGCCCAGUAUACAGGAAUAGAGAUAUAAUUGAAGCUUAUGGAUGCAUUUGAGUGAAAAAUUUGAAGAUUUUUAUCCAUUAUAGUGAAGUUUUCCUUUUCCUUUUGUUCUAAUUCAGGUUUUGACUUUUAGCACCCUAAAAACUGCAGCUAAAAAUACAUCAUAAUUGUGUAUACGACAGGUUAUAAUCAAUUGAUUAAUUUGGUUAUUUAAUCUAUUUUAUACUAAUUAUUGAUUAAUUUUGUUAUAAAUAGUUCUUUACGCACGAAGUUAUUACAUAAUUCUUAUCAGCUCUUCUCGAAAGCUGAAAGGACUGAUAUGACCAUGUAGAGGUGUCCAGAAAUCAAUGUAACGGCUGUUACAUUAGAACUCGUUAUAAGCACGCGUCACACUCUUCGCCUUUACUUCUUCAAAACGCGGGGCACAGACCCCGGCCCUCGAACAAGCCAGCGGUUGUCUCUAUCGGCGUCUGCCUCCACCUCUGCGUCGAAGGCCAUGGGAUCGAUGGGACGGACGUCGACUCUGGUGCCCGUAACUGCGGCGGCGAUCGACGAGAUCGGGUUUGCUCUUCUUCGGUGGUUUUUGGUGUCGAGGGUCGAGGUAUCGAGCGAUUCGGAAGAGCCAUGGGUUUUCUGGAAAAUCUCUUAGCGGAAGAGGGGGCGGGGGAUGGAUUGGACCGCGCCUCCGUCGCUGCCAUGUGUGCGGAAAACCAUAGGAUGUCGCUCCGUUUGGUGAUUCUGAUCCGUAUGAAAAACGUCGAACUUCAAUUUAAAUUUUCGGAUUUUAUUCCCUUUUAUAUAUUUCUUCUUUAUUAUUUUCGUUUCUUCUUUACUUUUCUGUUAUUUGGUUCUACAAACUUUGCUGCUUUAACACACAGAUCUCACCUUUUUCCUUUUUCGGUUGUUGGUUUUGCUUAUGUUGAAGGUUAAAUCCCAUGAAAUUAUACUCCAUCAUGGAUUUUUCUCCUUAUGAAUGAGCUCAUCCAAAAACUUCGGAGCAAGCCAUAUGGUUGUGGUCAUAUGGAAGUCUAAUAAUAAGUCACUUAUAGCAUCCUCACUUUUUUUUUUCUGCUUCUGAUUUUUCUGAAUCUUUUUUGCUAUAACGUCCUAGUCAUCUACUUGAUAAUGUAUAUUUGGGUCCUGGCCACACGUCACAGUCAACGCCAUGCCACGCCACCGCCAGAUCAGCAAGAGGAACACUCCCAUGCGUCGAGCCAGAAUCCGUAUCAAGGCGUUCCUCGGUACAUCCCAUCCUGAAAAGCUCGAGACGACGCCGUUUUGCACGUCCCAGGACGACGACCGCACAAAGGUACCAUCUCGCCCCUCGAGGAUCGGUCGCCACGCCAAACCUGCGUACGACCGACCCUCGUAUAGUAGUAUAAAAACCUCUGGCCGGCAUCUGGCCAAGGGAGAGGCAAAAACAGAGAACAAAACACUAACUUAUUCGUUGAGGGGCCAAAGUCGGGAACCAUCCAACGAGGCUCUUUCGUGCAGGAGAGCGGCCACCCCCCUCGAGGCGCCACUAUCCCGAUCGAGAGGUGUCUUCCUCCGGACGGAUCCGACGUCCCGACCGACGCUCAGGGCUUUCCAUCCAAAAGAGCAGACACCCUUGAGGCACGACCGUCCCGACCGAGGGAUGCCAACCAACAUUUCGGCGCCAGCACCCCAUCUUGAGAGCGUGAUCGACCUCGGCAACCAGCUCAGCCGACCGACGACUCCCGACAUCGNNNNNNNNNNNNNNNNNNNNAUCAGUUCAUCAACAUUUUUGACGCUAGAAGGAGGGCCUUUCGUGUAGGAGAGCGGCCACCCCCCUUGAGGCGCCACCAUCCCGAUCGAGAGGCGUCUUCCUCCGGAUGGAUCCGACUUCCCGACCGACACUCAGGGCUUUCCAUCCAAGAGAGCAGACACCCCCGAGGCACGAUCGUCCCGACCGAGGGACGCCAACCAACAUUCCGGCGCUAGCACCCCGUCUUAAGGGCAUGAUCGACCUCGGCAACUAGCUCAGCCGACCGAAGACUCCCGACAUCGACCCGUGGACCAGGCCGUGCUGACUCAUCAGCCACAACGCAUUAGUUCAUCAACAUCCGAUUAGUUCUUGGCUUGGCUUUUAGUAAUACUAGAUGUGAUGCCCCGAUUAGUUCCGCAUUGGAAUGUAAGAUUAGAUGAACCUGUUAUUAGUAACAUCGGCAUCCGAGAUUACGAUGUUAAUAACUGUUAUUAGUAAUCAUUAUGAUUCACCUAUUCUACACCUUAUAAGCUCAGAUGUUCUUCUACAAGUAACCUGAGCAUGCCAUUUCGUGCCACGGGUUAUAUGAGUCUGAUAAUAGUAAUUUGGUCUGAAGUAUAUUGCACCACGACUUAGAAACUCAUUCUAUCGUGGUUAUCAGGUUGGCUUAUAUAUUGGAUUGAAUUGUGAAAAUAAGAGGGAUUCAACAUUUCUCUAUUGAGAAAGAACUUCUUCCAUUUAAGGCCUUGGUUUUGAUCUUGAAAUUGCCAAUCCAGUUUGAAGCAUGAUGGCCAUAGAUCACAUGGUGGAGUCGUUGUAGUGUGAAGUAGAGAAUCCAAGUGCGAAUAUGCCUUGCUUUAAAUGCACAAGGAAAAUUACGUUGUGUUCUAUGGAUCAGAUUUUUUGCUACUCUUGUUAAUGUGCUUCUCUUUGUUGCAUAAUAGUCUUCGCACUCACUCCUUAUUGCCCAUCGUGCUACAUUUUCUUUUUCGUUUGUUCUUUCAUUGUAAGAUUUGUAAGGAUUAUCUUCAGUAAAUAUAUGAUUUUACUGGGCAAACUUUUACUAUCAGGGGC
This 44001-nucleotide long non-coding RNA is filed under the name Musa acuminata (dwarf banana). Its description in RNAcentral is "long non-coding RNA (MACU_LNC004351)". The record is from RNAcentral. Lineage: Eukaryota; Viridiplantae; Streptophyta; Magnoliopsida; Zingiberales; Musaceae.